UGACCCCUAACUUCAGUACUACUAAACGAUAAAUAAUAUGUCAGACAUAAAAUGGACGAUCGAUUCGUGUUGCUACGCAAGUGUUCGGUAAGCGUCGUGAAUCAUCCUUCGUUGUUGAACUGACGCAACUUUCGCUACUUGCUUUAAUAAUACGUAUUAUGAGGUUCUUAAAUUUAAACCUUAAGAAUCAAAAAAUAGAGCACUUUUUUGUCUAACAAAACUUUGACCGUUUUUUAAUAUCAUGGUCCAGUAUAUAGCGCGGUUAGCGUCUACCUGACAGCUCCAUCCGUUCGCCGGCCGUAUUGUGCUAUUACCAAUUUACCGCCCAAAAUCCUUAUGAAGAAAAAAAAAACUCCAGCAGAGGCAGCAGAGGCGGUCGAGACAAGAUGGCUGAGGCUGCAUGAAGCUGGUAUUGUGAAUAUUGUGAUAAAGUUUUUAUUGUUACUGGACAUAGUAGGAAGAACUGAACAUGUCUCGAAAACCUUUUGUCCUAAUGUCUAGGCAGGGACAGUUAAAGAGAAUAAAACGAGAAAUGGCACAAAACACACAAACAAAUAAUAUUUCGACCAAUGACAGCCACACAGAGGAAAACAUAUUGUUUUCUCAUCACAACUCUCGUCAGGUGGUGCAGCUAAUGGCAGAGAACGAAUUUGACUUGAAUAGCCCGGGUUCCUCUUGACAUUGUUCCCAUCCUCCUCAAAACCAUUUCAAUUCCUCUCCAAGUCAACAAAAUACUCCAGCUUAUAAUGAUUAUUCGGCAUUUAAUAAUUUUAUUAAUGAACAGCCUUUAUCAGAUAGUGAUGACCAGGUUAAUCCAAUUGAUAUGAAUGAAUCAUUUAAAAAUAGUUUGAGACAUUGGGCUAUCAAAAAUCAAAUAACCCAUGUUGCUACUAAUGAAUUGCUGAAUAUAUUAAAAGAUCAUGAAUGUUUUGAUUUGCCAGCUGAUGCUAGAUCAUUACUUAAGACUCCGGCAAAUAUUAUCUGUCGAGUUGUUGAGCCAGGACAUUACUCUCAUAUAGGUUUGAGAAAAAUUUGAGGGAAAUAUUGAAAUUUGUUAGUGAAAAUGAUAAUGAAAUUCUUCUAUUAAUCAGCAUUGAUGGGUUACCAUUAUUUAAAAGUAGUACAAUGGAGUUUUGGCCAAUUUUGGGUUCUGUCUAUAAUGUUCCUGCAAUAAAAUCGGUUGUGUUCCCUAUUGGUGUGUAUUGUGGCCCUAAAAAACCUAUUAGCUGCACAUCUUUUAUGGAAGAAUUUAUUUCUGAAGUUGCUAAAUUGAUUAACUCGGGUUUGACUAUUAACGGCAAAAACAUUAAAGUUGCUAUUAAAGGUUUUGUUUGUGAUACUCCGGCAAAAUCUUUUCUAUUAGGAGUCAAAGGACACACAGGUUAUUAUUCAUGUACAAAGUGCAGACAGCCUGGUGUUUAUUUGGAAAACAGAAUGACAUUUCCUGAGUGUGAUGCAACUCUAAGAACCCAUGAAGAGUUUCUCAAGAUGGAUGAUGAAGAUUUUCACCGUACUCAAACGCCAUUAAUAUCAGCACAAUACCUGGCAUAAAUUUUAUUAAAAGUUUCCCAUUGGAUUAUAUGCACCUUGUUUGCCUAGGUGUUGUGCGCAGUCUUAUUUAUAUAUGGAUGUUUGGACCAGUACCAAUAAAACUGCCUCGUCAAAUUUUAAAUAACAUCAGUGCUGAUCUGGUUGCUGUUGCCAAGCACAUGCCUUUAGAGUUCAAUAGGAAACCACAUUCUUUGGAUGACGUCAAAAGGUGGAAGGCAACUGAAUUUCGCCAUUUUUUGCUAUACACAGGGCCGUUAGUACUUUCAAAAUUAAAGUCUGAAUAUUUAUCAUAUUAUAACAAUUUUAUAAGCUUUACUGUUUCUAUGAGUAUAUUAUUAAAUCCGGAAUAUUGCUUUAAAUACAAUGAAUAUGCUAGAAAUCUGCUAAAACAUUUUGUCAAAACAUUCAUCAAUUUAUAUGGCGCCCAAAUGGCAACUUAUAAUCUACAUGGUCUUGUACACCUCAGUGAUGAUGUAUAUGAAUUUGGUGCACUUGAUUCCUGUGCAGCAUUUCCAUUUGAAAACUUUUUACAGGUUUUCAAAAAGAAUAUCAGAAAAGGGGCCAAACCUCUUCAGCAAAUAAUUAAGAGGUUCGGGGAAAUGAGUAAUUCUAACUUUUGGACUAAAAACAUAUUACCUUGUGGUUCUAUUUAUCCAAUAUUUUUAAAACCUCACUCAUCAGGCUUGCUUUUGCCAGGGUGUGAUAAAUUACAGCAGUUCAGCUCAAUUAAAUUUCAAUCUUUUGUAAUAAAAACAGCACAUCCGGAUUCAUAUUGUGUUUUAAAACAUGGUAAUAUUGUAGCAGUAUGCAACAUAGUGUUUUCCAAUAAUGUGCAGAGCAUGGUUAUACUCUGUAAAGAGUUUGCAACUAAAGAAAACUUCUUUGGUACACCAUUAAUAGAAAGUUCUAGUAUAGGAAUUAAUAUAGUAAAAGAAAAAAUGAGUCUAUGUGAAAAACCUGUGUCGGAUAUUGUGGGAAAAGUUGUUCUUCUCCCUUUUCAUGAUCACCAUGUUGCAAUCAAAAUGCUGCAUUCAUAGGUCUUAAUCCAUAAUGUCCUUUGUUCCUGUCCUAUCCUUUACUAGCCUUGUGGGUUUUGUCAAAGUGGAUGAUUACUUACUACAGAUUCUUUAUAAUGGCUCAUUUUGCCAUUGUUACAUUUGUGGACGAGGCUGAUGCACCAGGAAUAAUUGCAUCAAACUGGGUAAUAAAUGAAAAUUUAUGUUCGUACCCUAAUGUACGUACAGAAGAAUUAAAAGACAAAUUGUUAAAAAGGAAAGCUGAACCCGAGGAUAAAUGGCCGCAGUAUAAAAUAAAAAUUCUAAAAUACUACGAAAAUUAUAGCGAAGCCCGUCUCCAUUUGAAAAAAGCAGAAGAAACUUCCAAUUUGGAUUCUGAUGAGGAAGUAAGAAAAAGAAAAAGAAGACUAAAAAAAAUAUCCCUGCCAGAAGACUCUAACUCAGAAGAUGAAUACCCCAUUAUGAAGAUGUCAAAAA
Molecule: RNA transcript, 3044 nt
Organism: Cydia pomonella (codling moth)
Lineage: Eukaryota; Metazoa; Arthropoda; Insecta; Lepidoptera; Tortricidae
Exons: 4
Source: RefSeq, a predicted model, not a curated record